GUAGGUAUAGUUUAACCAAAACAUUAGAUUGUGAUUCUAAAAACAAGGGUUGAAAUCCCUUUACCCACC
RNAcentral lists this transfer RNA (69 nucleotides) under Channa aurantimaculata (orangespotted snakehead). RNAcentral's name for it is "tRNA-His". It matches the Rfam family "tRNA". Rfam says of the family: Transfer RNA (tRNA) molecules are approximately 80 nucleotides in length. Their secondary structure includes four short double-helical elements and three loops (D, anti-codon, and T loops). Lineage: Eukaryota; Metazoa; Chordata; Actinopteri; Anabantiformes; Channidae. The record is from RNAcentral.